RNAcentral lists this long non-coding RNA (627 nucleotides) under Vulpes vulpes (red fox). RNAcentral's name for it is "lncRNA (ENSVVUG00000007160.1)". The record is from RNAcentral. Lineage: Eukaryota; Metazoa; Chordata; Mammalia; Carnivora; Canidae.
AAGAUGGGUAGAGGUUAACAGAUUUUUUAAAUUAUAUUUUCAAUAUUAUUUUUACUAGUUUUCUCUCUAGCUCUUUUUUGUCCCUUUUCUCAGAAAUUGAGAGAGAGUGACAUGUUUCCUUGGCUUCAGGCAGAGUGGCCCACUGCAGUGGCUCUUCUCUAUUAGCAAGCAAUCAUAUCUAUAGCCAAGGCUGUUAUGACUUCCAGCCCUUUCCAUCUCACUAUCUGGCCAAGGCACACUUCUCAGAAGUCAGAAACAGUAAUGCUUACCUCCUCCUUUUGUUUGAUUCUUUAUCUCAAUGCUCAAAGUUUUCAUUACCAUUUAUUUCAGGAUCCCCCAGGGCUGAAAGGACUCCAAAGUCUGCCUUAUAACACUGGAUCUCUGAGAGAGAGAUUGCAUAUUCUCCCAGACAUCUUCUAUCCUCUUUGCUCUAAAGGCAAGAGGCAGACCAUCCCCGAUGGGCACAACGGCUUCUCCGGGGUGGAAACCAGGAAAGAAUGGAAAGUUGUGUCUGAACCCAGGACCCUCAGGAACCCCAGGGAUGCGGCUCUUUCGAAUGCUGGAGACGUUGGUGCCACCUACAAACCCAACGCCUCAGGGAGUUUUUCAGGAGGCGCCAUAGGGUAA